This 230-nucleotide long non-coding RNA is filed under the name Carica papaya (papaya). RNAcentral's name for it is "long non-coding RNA (CPAP_LNC015670)". Lineage: Eukaryota; Viridiplantae; Streptophyta; Magnoliopsida; Brassicales; Caricaceae. The record is from RNAcentral.
CUUGAAGUGUUUAACAAUGAGUUGACUAAGAUAAAUGCACUAAGUUUUUUAAAAAGGGAGAUUGUAAUUUACUCUGGACAAGAGAGACUCCAUUAUUGGAAUGUGGAGACUGGAAAGUCUCAAAGACGAAAGGGAAUGUGAUUAGAAGAGGGUAAUCUGCUCGCGCUCUUUGUUGAGACCUUCUUUGACCAUGGCAGGUAUCCACGUAGGCAUCUCUUGAAUGGUUUUCA